AGGAGGUGAUUAAGAAAGGGUUCAGAAACUAUUUUGCAUGGGCCUCUAAAUAAUUCAUCAUUUGAAUCUGUCCAAUGUGUUCAGCUUUCACAGACCAGCUUAGUAUCACUGCCAAAUUAAAGUUGGCAACUUAAAAGCUUAUUGAAUCUUUGGACCAAGUGUUUUCUUGUUGUUUAGAAUUUUUCAAAGACAGAAUAAUUAUUUAAGGUAGGAAAGUCUUGCCCAUGAAAAUAUGUUUUAACACUGUUUCUCUAAGAAUAGGGUUCUAUUUUAAUACCUCAUAUUUCUCUUGUAUCCUAGUGACUCCUUAAUACCCAUUUUCAUGGUGACUUCCCUCAUUUUACUUUGGCUCAUAGUAGAUGACCUUUAGCUCUAUAGGAGAGGGUAAUCUGACCCUCCAGGAAGCUAAUACUGAAAAUAUUAUUUCCAAUCAUUUUAUUCUUUGACGUUUACCUUCAAAGCCACUUAAUAAAAGCCAGCUGAAACAAAGGUUCUUACUUUCCCUUUCUCUAUUACUAGCUUACUUUUUCUUAAAAAAUGGUGUUUAUUCAUAAUGUUUAAAUAGAUAACUCAAUUUUAUAUUAAAAAAUGUGAUUUACCUUCCAAAAAUGCAAUAUGCUUGAAUUGCAAAUUAUGUACUGGAUGUAUGUUGCCUAUAAAACAUUGUGUUCAAGCGUCCUCAAGAGGGCUAUCUAUCUCAUUUUACUGCAGGUAGCACAAAGAAGCCAGAUGGGAUAUUCAACACUCAACUUGAAAAUCUCUAGCUCGAUCAUCCCAUUCAUUAGAUAACAGAUGAAAAUAAGUGCAACAUGCCAGAAAUCCAGUAAAGAAGUUCAAGUAUCAGAAGAGCAUGAAUCAAAACCAAGUGCAAGAAGAGGCACCUUGACAUUGAACUAAAGGCCACCAGGCUUCAGUAGCCAACAAAGACAACUACUAGAGGUGCUUACAGUUGCCUUGGCUGGCACACUAAUUCAAAAUACUGGUGCUUCCAAUCGCUGAACUGAACUGGGAACCAAUCAACAAGGGAAACCAGGAGAUGCAGUCCCUGAAGUUCAGCCUCAAGUAAGGCAGGGGAAGAGAAUAUGUAAAUUUGUGGAGAAGAGUGGUGAUGGUGGGAGCUACCAAUAAAAACUAUCAAAAAGGAUGAUGCACCACAAAAGCCAUCGCCAGAUACCAGCACCUUAAUGUUGGACUUCUCAGCCUCCAGAACUUCACCUAUUGGUGGUCAUUUGGGUCGUUUCCAGUUUGUGGCUGUUGUAAAUGAUGAUUUUAUAAACAUUUAUGUACAAAUCUUUAUGUGGAUAUCUAAAUAUAUGAUUUUAUUUCUCUUGGAUAAAUACCUAAGAUUAGAAUUGCUGAGUCAUAUGGUAAAUGGAUGCUUAACUUUAAAACCUCCCAAACUGUUCUUCAAAAGGGUUGUGCCAUUUUACAUCCCCACCAAUAAUGUAUAAAGGUUCCAGUUUCUCAAAAUAUUUGCCAACACUUGGUAUGGUCAGUCUUUUUGAUUAUAGUCAUUCUAGUGGGUAUAUAAUGAUAUCACAUUGUAAUUUUAACUUGCAUUCUCCUAAUGACUGAUGAUGUUGAGGAUGUCUUCAUUUGGUGUUUUUAUUAUUUUAUUUUUAGCCAUACGUAUAUCUUCUUUAGUGAAAUGCCUAUUGAAAUAUUUUGCCUAUUUUCUUGUUAUUUGUCACUUAUUAUUGAGCUUCAAAAGUUCUUUAUGUAUUCUGUUCAAUAGCCAGAUGACCUCAUCUUCUAGCAUUUACACCCUUGAGCAGUGCCUUCCUCAUUGCUCUAGGAUUGGUCUGACCAAAAGAACCAAACAACAUACGGCAGAAAUGAUGGUAUAUCACUUCCAAGGUUAGGUUAUAAGAGACUGUGUUUUCCAUCUCAGCUUCUUUCUCUCCCCUGCCAAACUCCUUUGCAUCAUUCAUUCCAGAGAAUCCAGCUGCCGUGUCAUGAGGACAAUCAGAUGGCUUAUAAAGGGCCCCUGGGAGAAGGAACUGAGGUAUUUUUCCAACAGCCAACAAGGAACCGAGGUCUGCCAACAACCAUGUGAGUGUGCACGGAAUUUUCUAGCUCCAGAUGACUGCGGCUUUGGCCAACAGCUUGUCUUGAGACACCCUGAGCCAGCACCACUCAGCUAAGCCACUUCCAGAUUCCUGCCCCUCAAAACUGUGUGACUUGUUGUUUUGAGAUGCUAAGUAUUACAGUAAUUCGGCAACAGAUAACAACUAUAUUCUGGAUACAAGUGUUUCUGAUAUGUAUGAUUUGCAAAUAUAUUUCUCACUUUGUGGUUUGCCUUUCCAUUUUUGAAAUAGGAUCUUUUGAAUACCAUCAGUUUUCAAUUUCGAUGAAGUCAAAUUCGCCAGUUUUUAUUUUGUGAAUCAGGCUUUCAGAAUCAUGUCUAAGAAAUUCUUGCCUAAGGACACACAUUGUUUAUCAGAUGUUGUCUUCGAAAAUGUGGAUCAUUUUAAUUUUUCUACUUUUGUCUCAGAUUCGUGUUUAUUUAAACUUGUAUAUGGUGUAAAGUAAGCAUCUAAGGUUUUUCGUUUUGGUUUGGUUUUUGUUUCGCAUAUAGCGAUCCAUUUGUUCUAACACCACUUGUGGUAAAGAUUAUUGUUUUCCUCUUGAAUUGCCUAGGCAUCUUUGUUAAAAAUCAAUUUACUGUAAAUGUGUGGAUUCUUUACUGGGUUCUUCAUCCUGUUUUAUUGAUCUACAUAUCUAUUAUUAUAUUGAUGUGUUGAUUACUGUACUUUUGUAUUAAAAUUUGAAAUUACACAAGUCCUCCAGCUUCAUGCUUCUUUUUCAAAAUGUGAGUUGGAAUCAUGACUAUUUGUUAUUAACAAACUCUUCUUUCAACAGCAUAAUAAUAUUUUUGAAAUGAAUAAAGCAGAUGAAUCAGUUCUGAUAAAAAUUAAGAUAUCCAAAAUGUUUUCAGAGGUUUUCACCAUAGUAAAAAAAAAACAUACUUGAUUUAAAUAACUAUUAUUCACCUAUCAUUUUCUCAAUGGCUACGUUUCAUAAUGUUAGGACUGAUUAACACCAAAAGCAAUAUCCAAUAUAAAAAAUCAAUGAUGUUUUUUGAAAAGAUUUUACCUAUUUAUUGAUAGCAUGUAACUUUACUAAGAAAAUGGGUAACAUGAACAAAAAUUUUAACUAUUUUUCAGCACUUAUCUGUUGGUCGUGAGAAUUUAGAAGCUAAAUCCUCAUAUUGCUGUUAGUGGAACAGUAAAUUGUUCCAAAAAAUGUUUGGAGAAUAAUUCAUAGAUUUCAAGGAUUUUAAGAUUACUUUUGUACUAUUUAUCAAAAACUGCUUAUUAUUUUCUGGUUUUUGUUUUUGCUUUUCCUGAAAGAGUACAAAUAUCAAUUGAAUUAAACUUUUCUGUAUAUUAUUUCGAAGUAUUAAAAAUAGUACCCAGUGGCAACUUUUUGUUCAUCGAGACACUAUGAAAAAUUUCCAAUAUUAUGCAAGAAUAAGGUUGUUUUCAUUAGGACUAUUCCUAUCUACUAGUUAAAUUGAAUCACCUUUAAAGCAUCAUGUACAGACUUAAAAAGCUUUGUCCUUAUUGACACUCAAAGAACCCAGGAAAUCUGAACAUUUGAUUUUCUACCACCUCUUUCUCUCAUGAAAAAACAUAAUAAAGAUUUUCUUGUUUUA
Molecule: non-coding RNA, 3658 nt
Organism: Macaca mulatta (Rhesus monkey)
Lineage: Eukaryota; Metazoa; Chordata; Mammalia; Primates; Cercopithecidae
Source: RefSeq, a predicted model, not a curated record